UUGACCUCGAAUCAGGUAGGACUACCCGCUGAACUUAAGCAUAUCAAUAAGCGGAGGAAAAGAAACCAACAGGGAUUGCCCUAGUAACGGCGAGUGAAGCGGCAACAGCUCAAAUUUGAAAUCUGGCCCUCGGGUCCGAGUUGUAAUUUGUAGAGGAUGCUUUUGGUGCGGUGCCUUCCGAGUUCCCUGGAACGGGACGCCAUAGAGGGUGAGAGCCCCGUCUGGUUGGACACCAAUCCUCUGUAAAGCUCCUUCGACGAGUCGAGUAGUUUGGGAAUGCUGCUCUAAAUGGGAGGUAUAUGUCUUCUAAAGCUAAAU
RNAcentral lists this ribosomal RNA (318 nucleotides) under Mariannaea humicola. Its description in RNAcentral is "eukaryotic LSU rRNA". It matches the Rfam family "Eukaryotic large subunit ribosomal RNA", at positions 1 to 321 of the family's 3401-position model. The record is from RNAcentral. Lineage: Eukaryota; Fungi; Ascomycota; Sordariomycetes; Hypocreales; Nectriaceae.